UACGGAGGGUGCAAGCGUUAUCCGGAAUUAUUGGGCGUAAAGCGUCCGUAGGUGGUCACUCAAGUCUGCUGUGAAAUACUAGAGCUUAACUCUGGAAAGGCAGUGGAAACUGAGAAACUAGAGUCCGGUAGGGGUAGCGGGAAUUCCCAGUGUAGCGGUGAAAUGCGUAGAUAUUGGGAAGAACAUCGGUGGCGAAAGCGGGCUACUGGGCCGGAACUGACACUCAGGGACGAAAGCUAGGGGAGCGAAAGGG
Molecule: ribosomal RNA, 253 nt
Filed under: uncultured bacterium
Lineage: Bacteria
Description: partial 16S ribosomal RNA
Rfam family: Bacterial small subunit ribosomal RNA
Source: RNAcentral